GACGAACCGAGCGAACGUUAUUCGGAAUCACUGGGCUUAAAGGGUGCGUAGGCGGGCCCGUCAGUCAGGGGUGAAAUCCCACGGCCCAACCGUGGAAGUGCCUCUGAUACUGCGGGCCUGGAGGGGGAUAGGGGCGUGCGGAACUUCCGGUGGAGCGGUGAAAUGCGUAGAUAUCGGAAGGAACACCGGUGGCGAAAGCGGCGCGCUGGAUCCCUACUGACGCUGAGGCACGAAAGCCAGGGGAGCAAACGGG
Molecule: ribosomal RNA, 253 nt
Filed under: uncultured bacterium
Lineage: Bacteria
Description: partial 16S ribosomal RNA
Rfam family: Bacterial small subunit ribosomal RNA
Source: RNAcentral